GGCACAUGUUAAGUGAGCCAUAAAUAUUAGCUGGAAGCUGAAGACCCUCUGGGACUUCUCUUAGAACCUCCUAUUACUCUGCCCUGGGCCCCUCCUCUAGUUCCUGCUGUGCUCGGGGCUUUCCUCAAGCAGGAGCUGCAUGGGAAGGGACUGGCUUCUGCCAUGUUCAGGGUCCUGAGAUCACGGAUGAGCUCGUGCGAGUUCUGUGUCGGCGCCUGGAUGAGGCCACGCUGGACGUCAUCACAGUUAUGCUUGUUCGGAACUGCAAGCUGACACCAGCUGAUGUGGAGUUCAUCCAGCCCCCUGGAAGUCUCCCCUCAGAGGUGCUGCAUCUGGCCCUACCCACCUCCUGCAGGCCCUGGCUUCCAGCCCUGGCGUGGUACCUACGGCAGAACUUGCUCAUCUUCCUGCACUCUCCCAAGUACACAGAUAGCAACAGCCGGAACCACUUCCAACAUCCACUCCCACCACAGGGUGGCCUCCCUGACUUGGACAUCUACUUGUAUAACAAGCCUGGUGGACAGGGCACUGGGGGCAAAGGGGUUGCCUGCAUCACUCUAGCCUUUGUGGAUGA
Molecule: small RNA, 574 nt
Filed under: Pongo abelii (Sumatran orangutan)
Lineage: Eukaryota; Metazoa; Chordata; Mammalia; Primates; Hominidae
Description: processed transcript
Source: RNAcentral